This 49-nucleotide transfer RNA is filed under the name Dioscorea gillettii. RNAcentral's name for it is "partial tRNA-Leu". Lineage: Eukaryota; Viridiplantae; Streptophyta; Magnoliopsida; Dioscoreales; Dioscoreaceae. The record is from RNAcentral.
AAAAUCCCCGACUUUAGAAAUCGUGAGGGUUCAAGUCCCUCUAUCCCCC